UCGGGAAUUUUGGGCAAUGGGGGAAACCCUGACCCAGCAACGCCGCGUGAAGGAUGAAGUAUUUCGGUAUGUAAACUUCGAAAGAAUAGGAAGAAUAAAUGACGGUACUAUUUAUAAGGUCCGGCUAACUACGUGCCAGCAGCCGCGGUAAUACGUAGGGACCAAGCGUUGUUCGGAUUUACUGGGCGUAAAGGGCGCGUAGGCGGCAUGACAAGUCACUUGUGAAAUCUCUGGGCUUAACCCAGAACGGCCAAGUGAUACUGUCGCGCUAGAGUGCAGAAGGGGCAAUCGGAAUUCUUGGUGUAGCGGCGAAAUGCGUAGAUAUCAAGAGGAACACCUGAGGUGAAGACGGGUUGCUGGGCUGACACUGACGCUGAGGCGCGAAAGCCAGGGGAGCAAACGGGAUUAGAUACCCCCGUAGUCCCUGAGCGGGCUGGCAAGGCGCAU
RNAcentral lists this ribosomal RNA (447 nucleotides) under uncultured bacterium. RNAcentral describes it as "bacterial SSU rRNA". It matches the Rfam family "Bacterial small subunit ribosomal RNA", at positions 355 to 825 of the family's 1533-position model. The record is from RNAcentral.